GGAUGUGAGGGCGAUCUGGCGGCAACAUCUGCCACCCCAUUGAUUCAGCUGAUCUGGCUGCCUAGGCGGGUGAUCUGGCUCUUCCCCUUCCUCCCUCACCACUCCAUGUGUGUCCCUCCAGAAACUGUGUGCUCAGUGGAAGAGGACGGCCUUCCCCAAAGAGAGAUGACUGGUCUUUGGUCAAGGGUAUAGGAGUAGCUGAGUAGCUGCACUCCCCUGCUAGAACCUCCCAACAAGCUUGUUUACAUAUAUACAUAUAUAAACUCCACAAUUAUUAAGAAUAGGAGUAAGUCUAAUCAUUUGUAUUUCUCAAUAUAGGUAUCAAUCUAAAUUUUAGAUCAAUAAAUGAU
Erinaceus europaeus (western European hedgehog) is the source of this 350-nucleotide unclassified non-coding RNA. Its record names the gene 7SK. It matches the Rfam family "7SK RNA". From Rfam's summary of the family: 7SK was discovered as an abundant small nuclear RNA in the mid-70s but a possible function has only recently been suggested. Two independent studies have found that 7SK RNA binds the CDK9/cyclin T complex (known as elongation factor P-TEFb). Lineage: Eukaryota; Metazoa; Chordata; Mammalia; Eulipotyphla; Erinaceidae. The record is from Ensembl.